GUCCACGCUGUAAACGAUGAGUGCUAGGUGUCGUGGGUAUUGACCCCCGCGGUGCCGUAGCUAACGCAUUAAGCACUCCGCCUGGGAAGUACGGUCGCAAGACUAAAAACUCAAAGGAAUUGACGGGGGCCCGCACAAGCGGUGGAGCAUGUGGUUUAAUUCGACGCAACGCGCAGAACCUUACCUGGGCUGGAAAGUGUUCGGAAGUCUUGUGAAAAACGAGAUGUGCCCGCAAGGGAGCCGAGUGACAGGUGCUGCAUGGCUGUCGU
RNAcentral lists this ribosomal RNA (269 nucleotides) under uncultured bacterium. RNAcentral describes it as "partial 16S ribosomal RNA". It matches the Rfam family "Bacterial small subunit ribosomal RNA", at positions 793 to 1055 of the family's 1533-position model. The record is from RNAcentral.